CCUACGGGUGGCAGCAGUGGGGAAUUUUGGUCAAUGGGCGCAAGCCUGAUCCAGCUAUUUCGCGUGUGGGAUGAAGGCCCUCGGGUUGUAAAACACUUUUGUAGAGAACGAAAAGACACCUUCGUAUAAAGGGUGUUGCUGACGGUACUCUAAGAAUAAGCACAGGCUAACUACGUGCCAGCAGCCGCGGUAAUACGUAGGGUGCGAGCGUUAAUCGGAAUGACUGGGCGUAAAGGGUGCGCAGGCGGUUGAGUAAGACAGAUGUGAAAUCCCCGGGCCUAACUCGGGAAUGGCAUAUGUGACUGCUCGACGAGAGUGUGUCAGAGGGAGGUGGAAUUCCACGUGUAGCAGUGAAAUGCGUAGAUAUGUGGAAGAACACCGAUUGCGAAGGCAGCCUCCUGGGACAUAACUGACGCUCAGGCACGAAAGCGUGGGGAGCAAACAGGAUUAGAUACCCUUGUAGUC
This 465-nucleotide ribosomal RNA is filed under the name uncultured bacterium. Its description in RNAcentral is "partial 16S ribosomal RNA". It matches the Rfam family "Bacterial small subunit ribosomal RNA", at positions 338 to 795 of the family's 1533-position model. The record is from RNAcentral.